CCCAUCCGCCAGGCAUGUCCUGAAAAACAGAAACUGUUGCUGCCAUGUGGAGACACAGUUGAACUCUUGGCCUCUGGGGCGCACAGUCCAGCUCACACUGACGAAUACACACAAACAGAACUCUCGGAGAGAAGAGGAAGAAAGGUCGAGCUGGCCAGGGGGCUGCAGAUCCCUGCCGCCCCCAGGGCCUAAACCCUGGGAGUAACGUGGGUGAGACUCCGGCCUCAGGCUGCCUCGCCUACCUUCCCAGGCCUUGAGAUGGUCUUCCGCCCUCCCAUGUUAAAGGUUGGGUCAAGGCCUGGAAGGCCCAGGAUAGCCACAAGGGGGCGCAUGAGCACUGGCUAAUCCCUUCAGCCCAGGCUCCUCCCCAACCCUCCUCCACGGAUUCCUAACUAUGUGAUAAGCUCCGGUUCUCUGCCAGGGCAGGACCGGGGAGUCUCACUCACCCUCUCUGGCUGCCUGUCGCCCAGCAUGGGACAGGCGGGAAACAUCCCUUGCUCUCCCACACACACUUCGAGGCUUCAGUCUCCUACAGGAUCUCAUCUAAUCCUCACAACAACCUGGGAGUAGAUCCUUAUUACCUUAGCUUCACAACUGCAGGAGCCACCUCGGAGGUAAGGGGCUUGCCCUGGGUCACAGAGCUGGUGCCUGGACCAGCCCUCUGCCAGGACCUUCGCUGCAUAUUUUCGGCUCCUGCCCGCUCGGCUCCCAGCACCACUGGCUCUUGGUGGCUAUCAUGGGGAGAUGGGGGGCCCCACACCCCGCAGUUUAGGUCUCAAUGCAGGGCCCAGGAUGGGGCAGAGAGAGAGCGAGCCAUGUUUUGGAGUCACCAGAGCUCCCGGGGAAGACCAAGGUCCAGCGUCAGUCCCAGCCAGGAAAACCAGGAGAGAAGAACUAGAAUGGAAAGCACCUACAUUUCAUGGCCAGAAGACACUAAUUCCAGUCCCGGCCUAUUGUCUCUGAGCUGUGUGAUCAAGUCUCUGAACCAACAGGUCCUCAUUCAUGGUCUCACGUUGGGCUGACCCCCCUCCCCAGGCUGGCUUUGAGCAUUAGAGGCGUUUUAUCUUGUGCAAGGAAAACAGGGCAUAGAGAUACCACCCAAAUGGCAGCCACGAGAGGACUCCGCUCAAAGUGCUCUUCCUGGGGGGCCUCCCUGGCACAUAUGUGUGCCAUUUGCCCCUUAUUGUUCUAUAAUCCUUGAUGGUUGCUCUGUAAUUACUCUCACAUGGCUUCAUCAUAAUAAACAGCAUCUGCAGAGCAGUUCACAGUUUACAAACUGUAUCUUUUUCCUCA
Molecule: long non-coding RNA, 1293 nt
Organism: Canis lupus familiaris (dog)
Lineage: Eukaryota; Metazoa; Chordata; Mammalia; Carnivora; Canidae
Exons: 3
Source: RefSeq, a predicted model, not a curated record